This 72-nucleotide transfer RNA is filed under the name bacterium. RNAcentral describes it as "tRNA-Gly". It matches the Rfam family "tRNA". Rfam says of the family: Transfer RNA (tRNA) molecules are approximately 80 nucleotides in length. Their secondary structure includes four short double-helical elements and three loops (D, anti-codon, and T loops). RNAcentral also lists the same sequence under 3 other names. The record is from RNAcentral.
GCGGGAGUAGCUCAGCGGUAGAGCAUCAGCCUUCCAAGCUGAGGGUCGCGGGUUCGAAACCCGUCUCCCGCU